AAAUGGUAGACGUGGUAUAUCUUGACUUUAGUAAGGGAUUUGAUACUGUCCUGCAUGACCUUCUCAUAAACAAACCCAGAUGGAGCUACAAUAAGGUGCAGUUUUCCAUCACUACUCAUUGGGUGCGUUCCUCCAGGAAGGACUCAAACCAUUUUAGCAUGCUAUCCUGAAACCCUGCCACCUCUCUCAGAUGAGCCAGCAAAUUCUUAUGGUUGACAAUGCUGCAGAGAGUCCAGGAGGUUCUGUUGUGAAAGGCUGAUGGUUCUUUUUUCUACCCCUUCAAAAACAGAAACAACCUCGAAAGGCCCUGAAUUCUAGCUACCUGCUCAGGCUGAAGAGGCAAACACUAUAACAAAAACCUCUUAUGAGGUUUAACAGGACUCCAGCUUGGGGUGACUCGGCUGAAGGAAAAAGAAGUGGGGGGAUCGAGAGCAAAGAAAUAACGUGUUGAUAUUUGUUAAAUGGCACGAGAGCCAUCUGCUGUGUCUUGGAGUCUCUCAUCAGAAUGCUGCCAUCUCCAGAGAUGCUGUGUCUGCUGAAGUUCUGCAUCCAUUUGCGCAUUGGGAGGUGCUACUGGAGAAAAAUAAGUUUGUGGAUAUUUCAGCAUCAUGCAGAUGCUAUAUUUCUUAUACAGAGGCACACUGUACAGGCUAUCUAUAGGGCAUACCAAAGACCUGCUACAGUAUUUAAUAAACAUAGUUUGUUCCUGCCAAUAGCUGCCUGUUCUGCAUGGCCGA
This is a long non-coding RNA of Gopherus flavomarginatus (Mexican gopher tortoise), 737 nucleotides long. RefSeq lists it as uncharacterized. NCBI's taxonomy places the organism in Eukaryota, Metazoa, Chordata, Testudines, Testudinidae. The record is from RefSeq and is a predicted model, not a curated record. The transcript has 3 exons.